UAAUAAAUAAAUAAUCAUUUCGAAUAAAAAUUAAUCCCACGUUGUUUUAUCAUUAAUGUAGUCUUGUGUGGUAUAAUACGCUUUAGAAAUAAGUUUACGCUUUACAUCAUUCUUAAAUUUAUUAAUAGAUAAUUCAGUAAUAUGGUUUGGAAGUUUAUUAUAAAAUCUCACACAAUUACCCAUGAAUGGUUUUUUAAUUUUAUGGAGCCGAGUGAAGGGCACUGCGAGCUUAUGUUUAUUUCUAGUAUUAAUAUUAUGAAUUUCACAAUUUUUUCUAAAAUUUACAAUCUUUUUAUGUACAUACAGAAUAUUCUCAUAAAUGUAGUGCACUGUCAUUAUGUCAAUUUUCUUAAAUUUAUCUCUAAGUGAGUCUCUAUAGUUCAUUUUGUAUAUUGCACGAAUAGCCCUCUUCUGCAGAACAAAAAUGGUAUUUAUCUCUGAAGCACCACCCCACAGUAAAAUACCAUAUGCCAUAAUGCUAUGGAAGUAACUAAAA
This is a long non-coding RNA of Cydia amplana, 496 nucleotides long. RefSeq lists it as uncharacterized. The transcript has 2 exons. The record is from RefSeq and is a predicted model, not a curated record. Lineage: Eukaryota; Metazoa; Arthropoda; Insecta; Lepidoptera; Tortricidae.